GUGUAUGUGAUUUUCCAACAGAAUGAAUAGCAUGCUGGGGGCUUCACUCCCAAAAGCAGCUGUGAGACAAAACAAAGGGUGUAUUUGAUUUGAUUUAGAAUUAAUUAAAUGCACUUGUAUUUAACAUGAUCACUCUCCAUUCUAUUUUCCCUUCUACCAUAUUAGCAAUUAAAGUUUUAUCAUUGCUAUUUUUAAAAUGUUUUAAACAAUGGGCGGAAAUUAGCAUAUAUUAUAUAGUAGGUCUAAUUUUAAUAAUAUUUUUGCAGGGUGGCAUAUGCUGUUCUUUUUAACUCCGGUGAAGAAUCCAGAUAUUCUUCAAAGUUAAGGAUCCAGUUAAUAUGUUUAAAGUUUAACCCUGCUCUAUCAUGGCUCCAGAAAUGAUAGACAGCUUACAAGGCCAUGGCAGAGGUCGUCUACUCAGGAAAGUUUCACAAAGAAGGGAUCCCUUUGUCAGGCAGCCAUCAAACACUACAAGUCACCCUGCUCUGUUCUCUGUCUUCACUAAUUAAACUUGAUGGCAAGAGUUGGGUUCCACCUGGAUUUUUAUUAACAGAACAUUCUGUUCCUCUCCAAGGCCAACAAGUCAUGUCCUUCUAACAUUGGCCAACGGCCAACUGGCAGCCCCUAGAUUGGAGCUGGCAGCACCACCAUUGAGUCAAAGAUUAUACUAGAAGUCCCCUGAGCCGCUUAAUUCUCUUCCCACUGGGGAAAAAAACCCAGGACUCAGAUGAAGUCAAGAAAGCAAAUGAUUGCAGAAGGACAUAGUUUUCAUGGUUUCAUUUGCAUAGUUGGAUGGACAUUUGGGAGAAAAUGACCUACAGAAGAAACAGUUAAUUUCUGAAGUUAAUCACAGCAUGUGAAGAUCACUAGAAGUCCCACAGUGACAUUAGAAAAAAACAAAGUUUUAUGAAGGAAAAACAGAAGCAAAAGGAGAAGAGAAGGAGAGAAAAGAGAAGGAGAGAUAAACAAGCUUACCUGACUUGUGU
Long non-coding RNA from Thamnophis sirtalis, 986 nucleotides. RefSeq lists it as uncharacterized. The record is from RefSeq and is a predicted model, not a curated record. NCBI's taxonomy places the organism in Eukaryota, Metazoa, Chordata, Lepidosauria, Squamata, Natricidae.